AUUGAACGCUGGCGGCAUGCUUUACACAUGCAAGUCGAACGGCAGCACAGGGAGCUUGCUCCUGGGUGGCGAGUGGCGAACGGGUGAGUAAUGUAUCGGAACAUGCCUGGUAGUGGGGGAUAACUACUCGAAAGAGUGGCUAAUACCGCAUGAGAUCUUUGGAUGAAAGCGGGGGACCUUCGGGCCUCGUGCUACUGGAGCGGCCGAUAUCAGAUUAGGUUGUUGGUGGGGUAAAGGCCUACCAAGCCUGCGAUCUGUAGCUGGUCUGAGAGGACGACCAGCCACACUGGGACUGAGACACGGCCCAGACUCCUACGGGAGGCAGCAGUGGGGAAUUUUGGACAAUGGGCGCAAGCCUGAUCCAGCAAUGCCGCGUGCAGGACGAAGGCCUUCGGGUUGUAAACUGCUUUUGUACAGAACGAAAAGUCUCUGGCUAAUAUCUAGAGAUCAUGACGGUACUGUAAGAAUAAGCACCGGCUAACUACGUG
This 488-nucleotide ribosomal RNA is filed under the name uncultured bacterium. Its description in RNAcentral is "partial 16S ribosomal RNA". It matches the Rfam family "Bacterial small subunit ribosomal RNA", at positions 30 to 507 of the family's 1533-position model. The record is from RNAcentral.